AAUUUCUAAAGUAGUGGUUGAUGU
RNAcentral lists this non-coding RNA (24 nucleotides) under Arabidopsis thaliana (thale cress). Lineage: Eukaryota; Viridiplantae; Streptophyta; Magnoliopsida; Brassicales; Brassicaceae. The record is from RNAcentral.